GUGCUUGCACUCAAUUGGAAAGAGGAGUGGCGGACGGGUGAGUAACACGUGGGUAACCUACCCAUCAGAGGGGGAUAACACUUGGAAACAGGUGCUAAUACCGCAUAACAGUUUAUGCCGCAUGGCAUAAGAGUGAAAGGCGCUUUCGGGUGUCGCUGAUGGAUGGACCCGCGGUGCAUUAGCUAGUUGGUGAGGUAACGGCUCACCAAGGCCACGAUGCAUAGCCGACCUGAGAGGGUGAUCGGCCACACUGGGAUUGAGACACGGCCCAGACUCCUACGGGAGGCAGCAGUAGGGAAUCUUCGGCAAUGGACGAAAGUCUGACCGAGCAACGCCGCGUGAGUGAAGAAGGUUUUCGGAUCGUAAAACUCUGUUGUUAGAGAAGAACAAGGACGUUAGUAACUGAACGU
This 410-nucleotide ribosomal RNA is filed under the name uncultured bacterium. RNAcentral's name for it is "bacterial SSU rRNA". It matches the Rfam family "Bacterial small subunit ribosomal RNA", at positions 69 to 475 of the family's 1533-position model. The record is from RNAcentral.